UCUAUAGGCUAAAAUGCCCCCCGGGGAUGCAACAGGAAGUGGAGGAGUACCCCAGGUCGGGGGCCGUUGGGUCCGGUCACUGUUUGUUUCUUGACUUUAAUUUAGCGUGGGGAAGGUCAGAGACUAUUGGAGAAACCAGGGAAGUAACAUCGGAUGAUGAAAUACAACAAGGUAGAGCAAGGCCGCCGGGACAAGGUUGAAAUAUGAGAAAGGAGAGAAAAGAGAGAGGAACAGACAGAGAAAGAGACAGACGGACCCAGAGGGGGGAGUAGAAGGGGCUGGUUGACUUCUUAUUUCUCUGGGUGUGGGUGUGCAUUGUGUGAAACGUGAUCGCGUCCCCGAGUCUCUGGGACAGCUGGGAAGUCACUCCAGCCUUUCCCAGGCCUGAGCUCCUCCAGCUGGGAACACUCUGGGACGAGGCUGGGCCGGAGCCGGCAGCCUGGGACUGCUGCUGCACACUCAGCUGUGGGGUUAACCCUUCAGAGCACAGCAAGACGGCACACACCCACACACACACACACACACACACACACACACACACACACACACACACACAAGCAAGAUGUAUGCAAUGCGUGUGCGUGAGGACGUUACCUGA
Long non-coding RNA from Gadus morhua (Atlantic cod), 598 nucleotides. RefSeq lists it as uncharacterized. The transcript has 2 exons. Lineage: Eukaryota; Metazoa; Chordata; Actinopteri; Gadiformes; Gadidae. The record is from RefSeq and is a predicted model, not a curated record.